AUUACAGUAGAUAAAUGUACAGCAAUGGUUGUUGAAACUGUUGCUAUAUUCAGCUAUAACAAUACUUAAUGAGUACAAAAAUGUCUAUACUGUUAAAAAACCCCCAAAAUUGCUACAAUAUCUGAUGGUAUUUGAAUCAAGAUCUUCAAAUAUAUAUUUUUUCCAACUUCAAUAAGAUACUGUGGGAAAAGAAGAAAAGGGCAAACAACAACGAGUUUGCAUCAACGUGAUAGAUAGUACCAUUCACUUUACUCUUGAGAAAAAAAGAGACAAAAUUUACUUGUUUUGGUGAGCUUCAGACCGACUGUAGUGAGCUGCACGUAGUGAGCUUCAGCCCGACUGCAGAAUUACAUUUUGGUUGAAACUUCCACUGGGUCUUUCUCCCAGCAAACUUUGACGCAACAACAAAAUGUCCUGAUGAAUUUCUUAGGAGAAUACGAGUGACUGCGCAGCUUUUGAGGGCCGUAGUUGGAAUGGAAGACUACUAGAGGACCUAUGAUACUCAGGCUGACCAAUUUCUGAUUGUUCUAUGCACUUUGUAAAGCUGCUUACUUUGGAUUCUUUAUUUACUACUUUACUACUUUUCAGCAUUACCUCAGGGUGUUUAUAUUUCUUAUACUGUUAUGUCGUUUCUCAGUUUAGAUUUAGCAAGAUGUCAUUUCUCAGUUUGUUGUCGUAAUUCCCUGAAUUUGUCAUCUAAAUUCCUUCUGUGUAUUUCAAUUUAUGUAGAUGAAUGGUGGGAGCAAUUUAUGGAUACAUAAUCAUAUUAACUAACACUCUAGUGAGCUAAUAAGAACUUUGACUAACUUCAUUGGGAAAAAAUAAACUACAAAUUAACUACUCCCUUAGUUCCAAUUUGCAAGUCAUAAUCUGCUAAAAGAAAUUUGAGAUAAAACUUUGAGAGUACGUGAUGUUUAUCCCUUAUUAGGAAUUCCUAAUAACCUCUUGUCAUGGAAUACUUCCCAGUUUGUGUUAAUAAUAACUGGUCCGAUCAUAUCAGUGUUGCAUUGUCAACUGGUUCUAUGUGAGUCUAGAUAUCACCACCUUUAAUGUAUAUCUCAUGCACCCAUUUUAACCACAAGGAUUUUUUCUACAUGCUAGCUGAUACAGAAGCUUACCAACUGAUGCUACAUUCCAUAGCCCCCCCCCCCCCCGAUAUCUACAUGCUAGCUUACCACUGUUGCUAGCUGGUAACACUCUAGCUUGCUCCAUCUCUUAUAAUAAAGAGUACUACCCAUAUAUCUAAUAGGAAAGCAUCCUUUGGAGAAGCUAGUAAUCUACAACUAAAAAAACGUAGAUUGAUAGCAUCUUAGUACUCAGAUGGGCCAUGAAGAACUCUGAACAUUCAAACAUCACAGUCAUCUCCUAUUAAAUACUUACAUGUUUCUGGACAUUAAUGCAACAUGUUACACCUUGAAUGUUCUCUAAUUCAUAAUGUGCAGCAAAAAGAAAAAUGCAAUCAAGGUCAGUCUCCGUUUAUUCUUCUUAUUCUUCUCGUCCCUUUUUCUUCUUUUUUUAUUGGCUGCAUCUGUUGAUGUGAUGGCUGAAUCUUUGUUAUACACUAUAGUUUAUGUAAGUGAAUAUAAUCAAUAGUUAGUUACUCCCAUGUACUGAAUAUUUGGCUGCUAGGAGCUAACAAGUUAGUAUAGUAAUAUUUUUCCGAAGUUUGAAAGAAACGUACCACUCCAAGCUUGUAGUCAAUAAUUUGAUCAUCUUCACACAAUAUUAGUAGUGUUUUGUGCUUGACCUGUAUGACAAAACACCACGGGGACAAGAAGAAACACUAUCAGUUCAGCGCUAUAGAAGCAGAAGCAAGAGUGAAUCAAAUCAGCUACUAGCUAGCAGUGUUGUAAGAUGCAUGUUUUGGGUUGUUACUUAUCUGGUGCACCCUGUGUGCAUGGGUAUAGAUAGAGUACUGGAAAGAGGUUCGUCAAAAUCAUUUAUAUAGGAAACACAUAUAUAAGGUCAGUGAAUUUCCACAUACAUGUUUUAUCUGAUCAAUGACGUUGUAACCUCCACUGAUCAUGAAAUUCACUAUUGUAUCCUCCCACCAAGGUAAUAAACAAUGUAGACGACCUAUCUGGAUAGAAAACCUUGUAAUCAAAAAGGUCAUAAGACAUAUAGCACAGUUGGUUCAGGUUUCUUAAAGAUCAGAGAGUCGGAACUUACAUUAGUCUACUAUAUACGUGUACUUAAUGGUAAGCCAUUGAAAAACAAUGAUGUUGCAUAUAAUCGAAGUGGUAUACUUUUCAACAAGUAGACCUGCAACAAUUUUUUUCGUCAAGAUAGUAAAUUAUGUUUGAAUUGAGAUCCUUCGAGUAACUUUUGGUGGGUUCAAGUAAAUUAUGUGCUAGUAUCUUUGUUCUGGAAUUUGCCUUAAAAUAGAGGUCUCUAAUUUUAUCUUGUAGUUAGUCUCUUUUGUGAAGAUUUCGUUCUAUCCUAGAUUAUAUCAUGGCUUUCUCUUGGUGUAUAUAAAAGUAUCAGAUGCAUACAUGUUGAGGCAGUGGUUACGGACUGCUUGGGGUUUACCCUGGUUUUGCUUUCUUACUGAGAUCUUUCUGUUAAACAUGAUCCCUUACUGAGAUCUUUUCAACUGGUUAUUGUCCAAUUAAGCAUGAUCCUUACUGAGAUCUUUCUGUCCAGCUAAAACAACUUUUCAACUGAUUAUUGUCCAGUAAAACAUGUUUAGUUAAAAUGGUUCUCAUCGCCAUUUUCCUUUUAUUGCUGUUAUUUCCUUUGGCCUUCUCCACAUCAAAUGAUGGCUUGGUUAGAAUUGCUUUUCAAAUGAUGGCUUGGUUAGAAUUGCUUUGAAAAAGAUCAAACUUGAUCAGAACAACAGACUUGCUGCGCUCGCCUCGAGGCCAAAGAGGGUAAGGCUAUGAGGGCCUCUAUUAGGAAAUACGACUUCCAUGAUAAUCUUGGGGCGUCUGAGGAUACUGACAUUGUAGCACUGAAGAACUAUAUGGAUGCUCAAUACUUCGGAGAAAUUGGUGUAGGUACUCCCCCUAAAAAAUUCAACGUGAUCUUUGAUACUGGUGUCCAAAAUGAAGAAAGUGAUGAAGACAUUGAUCUUACUAAAGAUUUUGGAAUUGUUGAUAGGUGCUCUAUUAUCAAUAUUUUUAAUAUUGAACUUCGUGAAACGUAUCGGGACUCGAACUAGAUACUAUGUAAAAACUUAACUAAUCAUUUGGGUACUUAAUUAACAUUUUGCUUUUAGAUUUAGAUUACUAAUUUGUUCCAUAUGUUGGAUUAUGUGAUUAUUAAUGAAUAGUUUUGUUUUGUAAUGUGUAUAUAAUUAUUUAUUAUAACUUAUUAUGAAUGUAAAUGCUAAUUUACAAUA
This is an RNA transcript of Capsicum annuum, 3340 nucleotides long. RefSeq lists it as uncharacterized. NCBI's taxonomy places the organism in Eukaryota, Viridiplantae, Streptophyta, Magnoliopsida, Solanales, Solanaceae. The record is from RefSeq and is a predicted model, not a curated record. The transcript is spliced from 3 exons.